RNAcentral lists this long non-coding RNA (2212 nucleotides) under Phoenix dactylifera (date palm). RNAcentral's name for it is "long non-coding RNA (PDAC_LNC002648)". Lineage: Eukaryota; Viridiplantae; Streptophyta; Magnoliopsida; Arecales; Arecaceae. The record is from RNAcentral.
AGAGAUAAAAUUGUAAGAUAGUGUCAUCAGAAAACCUUUAAAAGCAUCAUCAGAAAACCUUUAAAGCUGUUUCACUUCUUUUAGGUUCUCUACCUUUCAUUUCAAAUGCCUAACCUCGUUGCAUGCAAAACCAUACUUCAAGCCUUUGUGUGUCUCCUUUUUGCAAUUAGAAAAACCACAAGAAGAUUGUUGAGAUUCACCUCUCUUUUCUUGUUUAUGAAACAGACAAUCAGAGAGCUUUGAUAUAUUGUAGUAAAGAUCAAGAAUUUUAUCACAGGAAAACAAUUAUGAACGCAACCAAACAGUUGGAUGUGGUGAGGCAAAACUUUUUCAUUUUUUUUUUAUUAUGAAUGCCAACGAGGUCUAGAUUACAAAAAAACAAGGUUUCAAUAAGAAUACAUAUUAGGUCUUGAUUACAAGGAUGAAAGAAAAGCAUAAAGCCUUGGUAUUUGUUAGACAGACCAUAGUGCCAACACCUCGUAAAGUAUGUGAAUUGGUUGAGGGACUGUGAAACAGAAGCUAGAAUUUGACGACUUCUAACAUCUAGAGGAAUAAAAUUAAAAUAUUAUCACAAAAUAUUAUUCCCAGUGACUUCAACAGAAUUUUUCUCAUCUGUCUAAUCAGAUAUAGGUUCCUGAUCAUUUUUUAUUUCCGAGGAUGACUCACGCAUACAGAAAAAAGACGUAAAAACCAAAUAGCAAGACAGCAAUAAACAUGGGGAUAACUUUUUGCAAAUUUACUCUCUUCAGGAGUUUUUCACUAAUGAUGUAUAAUGAGUGGAUCAUGUUAGUCAUGUUGUAGAAGGAGAUAGAUGAGGUCAUGAACGUGACAGUCCCAGAUUGACAUGAACCAUGUCAUUAUCUUCUCUAUAUCCCACAUUUUAAGUAAGAGGUUUCAGGGAUUGCUUAAGGUUGGAGCAUAGAUCUCUAGAGUUGUAACCUUGUCUCAAUACCUAAGCCACUUUUAUUAAGCAAAUAAUUUGUUAGUUCACCUAUGUCUUCUACUUCACUCCUUUUUUUGAACAAUGGUGGGAAAAGACCGUAUACGUUCGGACAGGCAAACUCAAGUCCUCUUGGCAGUCUUCUACUUCACUUUGGUUACAUGUUCUGAACCCUGUUUCUAUCUAAAGAUCAUGCUCAACGCAUGCUACAUUAGAGCUUAUAUUUGUUCCAUGAUAUAAAAUAUAUAGAUGUCUCAUACUCCCGACAACCAAGCCAUCUCUUAUGCUGGUCUUAAAUCUUUGGAAAAAAAUAAUGAUGUCAACAUCAAUAAUGGAUCAUCCAAAUUGAAGAUUCAUACCUGAAGGUAAUCUAUACUACAAACAAAACCUAGAAACCUAAAUUUAUAUAUUUCAGUAAUCUCUAAUCCACACAUGAAAUAGAUAAAAAAUGAAGGGUGACAAUUGUACUAGCGAUUUAAAAUACAUGGCAGGAGACAUAAAUUCAAAAUCUUGCAUGAUCAUGAAGAACACAUCUUAAAACAUGGGUAGACUUAAAUUCACGGGACUUUGAUGAUUAGAUUCAAGUAAAAUAUAAUAUUAUUUACAAUAUUCGUUCAUUUUUGUACCCAUUUUUUGAUUUGGUUGAGACCACAAAACUACGUGAAUUUUUAUUUUUAGACAUUUUUACACUAUAGAUUAUCUUCAAUAGUUUGGAUUUUCAAUUUGAAUGGUUUAUCGUUAAUUCUAAAUCAUAAAGCAUGCACUCCAGCCCUAAUGUUAAACAAUUUAAUGAGUGAAUUGCAACAAGUUAAACUUAUCAGCCUCUAGGGUGUAUGGGCCAGGCCAACAUGCUAGCCCUAAAGCCCUGGCUGAGAUAAAUCCCAAACUUGGGCUAAGAGGGGGUUGGGCCCAUGCUUAUCUAUAAUUCUAGAACACCGCCUUCUAUGAUUACAUGUCAGGAUUCUAUGAUUCUAUGGGGUGAGUAGCAUAGGGUCCACCUUCCAAUGAGUUGAACCACCGCAAUAUGGUGAAAGCAGUACUCACUAAGGGUACGAAUGGGUUGAGCAGCUCACGAGCUCCUCGAGCACAAUUCGGCUGUUACUAAGCUUGAAGAGCAAAAUACUUGGCUUGAAAACUGACGAACCUAGCCGAAAAUACAUAUUUUUAAUAAUAUUAUAUUUUAUUUAUAAUAUAUAUUAUUAAUUUAAUAUUGUAAACUAUAAUAUUAUGUUAUAUUUUCUUUUAAUUAUAUUUUUUAAUUAUGACCAUAGC